UGGGGAAUUUUGGACAAUGGGCGCAAGCCUGAUCCAGCAAUGCCGCGUGCAGGAAGAAGGCCUUCGGGUUGUAAACUGCUUUUGUCAGGGAAGAAAUCCUUUGGGUUAAUACCUCGAAGGGAUGACGGUACCUGAAGAAUAAGCACCGGCUAACUACGUGCCAGCAGCCGCGGUAAUACGUAGGGUGCGAGCGUUAAUCGGAAUUACUGGGCGUAAAGCGUGCGCAGGCGGCUUUGCAAGACAGAGGUGAAAUCCCCGGGCUCAACCUGGGAACUGCCUUUGUGACUGCAAGGCUAGAGUACGGCAGAGGGGGAUGGAAUUCCGCGUGUAGCAGUGAAAUGCGUAGAUAUGCGGAGGAACACCGAUGGCGAAGGCAAUCCCCUGGGCCUGUACUGACGCUCAUGCACGAAAGCGUGGGGAGCAAACAGG
Molecule: ribosomal RNA, 429 nt
Filed under: uncultured bacterium
Lineage: Bacteria
Description: bacterial SSU rRNA
Rfam family: Bacterial small subunit ribosomal RNA
Source: RNAcentral